RNAcentral lists this long non-coding RNA (340 nucleotides) under Elaeis guineensis (African oil palm). RNAcentral describes it as "long non-coding RNA (EGUI_LNC045749)". The record is from RNAcentral. Lineage: Eukaryota; Viridiplantae; Streptophyta; Magnoliopsida; Arecales; Arecaceae.
CAGUGAUGUGAGUGGUCCUUUGACCUGUGGUGUCAUUGGCUAUUCAUAGCGAGGCUAUUGAGUUUGAUUGCAUAUUUCUUUGGUCCCUAGCCAUUCGGAUCCUUGCUGUAUAUGUUGGCUUCAGUAGGUUCAGGUUCGCUGUUUGGAGUAGGAUGCACCUAGAUGGGAUUUAUCAAUCUCGAUAGAAAAGAAGAAAUCCUAUACGAUUUAUGAGACUGAGUUCAGAAAGUCUUUGACUAAAGCAAGUGUGAAUACUGAAAAAGAGUUUUCAUGAGAUUCACAAAUGAAAUCGAGUCGAGCCAAUCUAGUAUAUGACUGACGAUGGGGUCUAACAAACUCU